This 547-nucleotide ribosomal RNA is filed under the name Pomatoschistus microps (common goby). Its description in RNAcentral is "partial small subunit ribosomal RNA". It matches the Rfam family "Bacterial small subunit ribosomal RNA", at positions 7 to 930 of the family's 1533-position model. The record is from RNAcentral. Lineage: Eukaryota; Metazoa; Chordata; Actinopteri; Gobiiformes; Gobiidae.
CAAAAGCUUGGUCCUGACUUUACCAUCAAUUCUGAUCAAAUUUAUACAUGCAAGUAUCCGCACCCCUGUGAGAAUGCCCUGCAUUUUUCCUACCGAAGAAAAGGAGCGGGAAUUAGGCACACCCCAAAGUAGCCCAUGAUUCCUUGCUUAGCCACACCCCCAAGGGAACUCAGCAGUAAUAAACAUUAAGCCAUGAGUGAAAACUUGACUUAGUUAAGAUCAAGAGGGCCGGUAAAACUCGUGCCAGCCACCGCGGUUAUACGAGAGGCCCAAGUUGAUGGAUGCCGGCGUAAAAUGUGGUUAAUUUACAGUAUUACACUAAAGCGAAACACCUUCUAAGCUGUUAUAUGCUUUCGAAGGCAGGAGCCCCUCUUACGAAAGUAGCUUUAAACGAUAUGACCCCACGAAAGCUAGGGAACAAACUGGGAUUAGAUACCCCACUAUGCCUAGCCGUAAACAAAAGUGACCAACACACACCACCUCGCUUGCCAGGGAACUACGAGCCCCAGCUUGAAACCCAAAGGACUUGGCGGUGCUUUAGACCCCC